This 253-nucleotide ribosomal RNA is filed under the name uncultured bacterium. RNAcentral's name for it is "partial 16S ribosomal RNA". It matches the Rfam family "Bacterial small subunit ribosomal RNA", at positions 524 to 776 of the family's 1533-position model. The record is from RNAcentral.
UACGUAGGGGGCUAGCGUUGUCCGGAAUCAUUGGGAGUAAAGCGCGCGUAGGCGGCCAGAUAAGUCCGGUGUGAAAGUCAAAGGCUCAACCUUUGAAUGCCGCUGGAAACUGUCUGGCUUGAGUCCGGAAGGGGCGAGUGGAAUUCCUGGUGUAGCGGUGAAAUGCGCAGAUAUCAGGAGGAACACCAAUGGCGAAGGCAGCUCGCUGGAACGGUACUGACGCUGAGGUGCGAAAGCGUGGGGAGCAAACAGG